RNAcentral lists this ribosomal RNA (765 nucleotides) under uncultured Streptococcus sp. RNAcentral describes it as "bacterial SSU rRNA". It matches the Rfam family "Bacterial small subunit ribosomal RNA", at positions 28 to 776 of the family's 1533-position model. Lineage: Bacteria; Bacillati; Bacillota; Bacilli; Lactobacillales; Streptococcaceae. The record is from RNAcentral.
GACGAACGCUGGCGGCGUGCCUAAUACAUGCAAGUAGAACGCUGAAGAGAGGAGCUUGCUCUUCUUGGAUGAGUUGCGAACGGGUGAGUAACGCGUAGGUAACCUGCCUUGUAGCGGGGGAUAACUAUUGGAAACGAUAGCUAAUACCGCAUAACAAUGGAUGACUCAUGUCAUUUAUUUGAAAGGGGCAAAUGCUCCACUACAAGAUGGACCUGCGUUGUAUUAGCUAGUAGGUGAGGUAACGGCUCACCUAGGCGACGAUACAUAGCCGACCUGAGAGGGUGAUCGGCCACACUGGGACUGAGACACGGCCCAGACUCCUACGGGAGGCAGCAGUAGGGAAUCUUCGGCAAUGGGGGCAACCCUGACCGAGCAACGCCGCGUGAGUGAAGAAGGUUUUCGGAUCGUAAAGCUCUGUUGUAAGUCAAGAACGAGUGUGAGAGUGGAAAGUUCACACUGUGACGGUAGCUUACCAGAAAGGGACGGCUAACUACGUGCCAGCAGCCGCGGUAAUACGUAGGUCCCGAGCGUUGUCCGGAUUUAUUGGACGUAAAGCGAGCGCAGGCGGUUUGAUAAGUCUGAAGUUAAAGGCUGUGGCUCAACCAUAGUUCGCUUUGGAAACUGUCAAACUUGAGUGCAGAAGGGGAGAGUGGAAUUCCAUGUGUAGCGGUGAAAUGCGUAGAUAUAUGGAGGAACACCGGUGGCGAAAGCGGCUCUCUGGUCUGUAACUGACGCUGAGGCUCGAAAGCGUGGGGAGCGAACAGG